This is a long non-coding RNA of Terrapene triunguis (Three-toed box turtle), 805 nucleotides long. RefSeq lists it as uncharacterized. The transcript has 3 exons. Lineage: Eukaryota; Metazoa; Chordata; Testudines; Emydidae. The record is from RefSeq and is a predicted model, not a curated record.
ACACGGCUGCCAUGGGAUCCAAGCUUCCUGCAGGGUUGGGAGUGGCAUCAAUCUUUGUGGUUCCUUCCCGGGAAGGAGAGCCGCUAUGUGUUACAGCAAUUUUCUGCAAUAUCCUUGAAUCUGUCACAGUGGUGACUGGGUAGCACGCAAGGUGAGAGCUGAUGGGGGCAGAAGGGAAAUCCAUCGUCUGCACUGGGUGGUCACUGACAAGAAGUCGUCGGUUGCCAAGCACACUGCUCCCUGGUCACAUGAUCACAGCCAGCUUUUUGGUAAAACUGGUGCGAGGUGAGCAAAACGUUCGACUUCAGUAAGAGUUCCAAGAAUGACCAUGCGUACCCAGAAAUACUGAAGAAGCUGGCAAUGUUGGGGAUUCACUGGACUGGAGACCUGGUCAACCGGGAUGGCAACUUUCUCAGCCCCAGAUCCAGUCUAGGACUGGAGAAGAGCCAGCAGAUGCCUGAUCAGGCUAGCAAAAUGAUUCUGGUGCUCACACCAAUCUGCAAGGAGGCUUUAAUGCCAGAGCAGCUGCAGUGCAUCCUGGAUCCGUACCUAGAGAAGCUAUUUGAUGAGCCCCUGGAGGAGCAACCCGCCAUGGUGCUGACAGCAGACAUAGCCCUGGACCCUGGUCAGUUUCUGGAUUCAUUUUGUGGUUGUUAAUAUAGGGGGAUGGGAAGUAUUUCUGUUUUACGACCCAAAUAAAAAUGUAUUGCAAGCUGUGGUUAGCAGCGUGUAUACACUGAGGGCAGAUUGCAUGCUUGCUCCUUGGCAUUACAUGGCCACCACAUGGAACGCAGAAGAGACUGGG